GUCUCUGGGAGAAGAUUCCUGGGAAAUCUCUGGGGCGGCACAGAGAGCUGCUCACGUUUUUAAAAGGGAAGUAUACAUUUCAUUUUCGUUUGACGAGAUAGACAUCAGAAUUUAAAAAUACUGGAAAAUCGAAGCCAGCAGUAGACUAAGAGAAUCAUUUAUCCUCACUCAGUAGGGUUUCUUCUAUCAAUGCAAUAUAUAUGGCCGGGAGAUUAGGAGGACCCAAAGGAGACGGAGAAAGAAAUGAUCCACGAGGGAGAUGGACAAAGGCUGCUGAUAGGUCAAGUAAGAUGACAACAAAGAAUUGAUCAUUAAGUUUGACUAUGAAGCAUCUUGGUGUGAAUUUCUUUGGGUUUCUCCUGUUAUCCUUCUUGAAUAUGACUCUGAUGACAGGAAUUUCCAGGACUCUGAUUAUAGUCCCACAGGUCCUUGAGGCUCUGUUUAUUUUUCUUUUCAGUCUGUUUUCUCUCUGUUGUUCAGACUUGGUAAUUUGGUAAUUUCUAUUUCUUUGCCUUCAAGUUCAUGGAUUCUUUCCUUUAUCCCUUCCAAUCUGCUACUGAUUCUAU
This is a long non-coding RNA of Choloepus didactylus (southern two-toed sloth), 566 nucleotides long. RefSeq lists it as uncharacterized. Lineage: Eukaryota; Metazoa; Chordata; Mammalia; Pilosa; Megalonychidae. The record is from RefSeq and is a predicted model, not a curated record. The transcript is spliced from 3 exons.